Molecule: non-coding RNA, 352 nt
Organism: Schizosaccharomyces pombe (fission yeast)
Lineage: Eukaryota; Fungi; Ascomycota; Schizosaccharomycetes; Schizosaccharomycetales; Schizosaccharomycetaceae
Source: the annotation of a GenBank genome assembly
ACCAUUCAUCUCGACAUCAUAACUUUCUGACUCUGGUUUGGGAUAAACCGAUUCACCUUUAACUUUAUCCGACUCCUCCUCUUUUGCGCUGCUUUUCUGUGUGAAAGAAGAAGGUGGUACCAUUUUGGCUAAGAAAGAGACUACGGAUAAAAUAGGGUUCUUCCCCUGCAAAGAAUCAACCACAGGAUUGGUAUGCACUUUGUCCAUUUUAAAUAAAGCUUUGUCGGAAGAAGGAAGAUUAAGGAAUUUCAAAAUACACUCUUCAACACUUUUUGUGUUCACAUGAGAAGCAACCUUUGCCCAGUCGUCACUAUACAUUUCCACUCCCUCUGACAAAAGAACAAGUUCUUGU